UCUGGCAGUGAUGACACCCUUGCCCUCUCUGAGUGGCUGAUGAGAGCAGUUGUAGCGCUCUGUGUGGCUGAGCCAGA
Small nucleolar RNA from Myiozetetes cayanensis, 77 nucleotides. RefSeq annotates it as small nucleolar RNA SNORD103/SNORD85. NCBI's taxonomy places the organism in Eukaryota, Metazoa, Chordata, Aves, Passeriformes, Tyrannidae. The transcript has a single exon. The record is from RefSeq and is a predicted model, not a curated record.